CUCGGCUCAUUUUUUGUGUUUUCAGUAGAGACGGGGUUUCACUGUGUUAGCCAGGAUAGUCUUGAUCUCCUGACCUCGUGAUCCUGACCUCGGCCUCCCAAAGUGCUGGGAUUACAGGCGCCAGCCACCGCGCCCGGCAGCAAUAUGAAGUUCUAAAAGCAAGUCUUCAUCAGGAAGUGUCCUUGAUCACCAAAGGCUCGCCCAGGCAUGCUGGCUCUCUUACACUUCCACCUUCCACCAUGGGAUGACGCAGUAAGAAGGCCAUCAGUAGAUGCCAGUCCCUCAACCUUGAACUUUCCAGAUGCAGAACUUUAUGCCUCCAUUUUCCUCUGCUGCAUGGCCCCAGGAGAGAUUUUAAUUAGCUUUCUAACCUUGGUCCAGAUUGCACAUGCAAACGGUAGAGGAUGCAACACCCCCGCUUGUGGAGCUGCCGCUUGUGUCUGGCAUGGUGAGUUCAACAUUUGCUGCAAGUC
This 473-nucleotide small RNA is filed under the name Pan troglodytes (chimpanzee). RNAcentral's name for it is "retained intron". The record is from RNAcentral. Lineage: Eukaryota; Metazoa; Chordata; Mammalia; Primates; Hominidae.